UAGUUUAUGACAUAAGAGACUUGAGAGAGAAAGAUAUAAGGAAUAUGAUUGAGGAUUCAUGUCUCAAUGCAUCCUGUCAUGUCUCCAUCAGUAUCAUACCAUUCUGAGUAACGGUACAUGGGGCAAGCACUGGUACCCGACAUCCUGACUGUCCCAGUUGGUACCGAUUGGGAUGGACUAGGAUGGUUAUGUCCUGACACUUGGGAUGCGUAUUGGUACCAACACUUUAAUUAUCGAAUGUGAUGGUUUAUGUGAGUCCAAGGAAUAAAUUUAGCCGAGUUGAAAAAAAAAAGUUCAUGACCCUUGUGCAAAGACAUGAAAUAAAGAUGUUUUAUAAUGCAUUUGGAACAUAGUCUUUAAAUGGAAAAUAUGGAAAUAUAUUUCAACCAUCCAGAGUGGUACUGGGUGGUACUACUUGGUUCGGGCCUGGUUGGGGUAAACCAACCUUGAUCUGCUUGAAUUGCUUCAUCUGGGUCGGAUAAAGUGUUUGGGGUGGUUCUUGUGGUAUUUGCCUGAGUUGAGACCUACCCGUACUGCUUUAGGGUUGGCCUCGUAUGUACUUGGCGGCACAUACUGAACUGACCAGUUUUCCAACCUUAAUCUGAAGUGUGCUAGCUGAUCCACAAUGUAUGUUCAAAUACACUUUUAUAUUCAUUUGCAUGAUUGUACUAGUGGUAACAAGUCAAGGCAACAAGUUCCCAUAGUGUUGCCCAGUAGAU
This 719-nucleotide long non-coding RNA is filed under the name Phoenix dactylifera (date palm). RNAcentral describes it as "long non-coding RNA (PDAC_LNC019013)". Lineage: Eukaryota; Viridiplantae; Streptophyta; Magnoliopsida; Arecales; Arecaceae. The record is from RNAcentral.